GCGACGCCGCGUGAGUGAAGAAGUAUUUCGGUAUGUAAAGCUCUAUCGGCAAGGGAAGAAAAAGCGCGCGAGCGGCCCUUAGACAGUACCUGACUAAGAAGCCCCGGCUAACUACGUGCC
Molecule: ribosomal RNA, 120 nt
Filed under: uncultured bacterium
Lineage: Bacteria
Description: partial 16S ribosomal RNA
Rfam family: Bacterial small subunit ribosomal RNA
Source: RNAcentral